RNAcentral lists this ribosomal RNA (1449 nucleotides) under Limosilactobacillus fermentum. RNAcentral's name for it is "bacterial SSU rRNA". It matches the Rfam family "Bacterial small subunit ribosomal RNA". Lineage: Bacteria; Bacillati; Bacillota; Bacilli; Lactobacillales; Lactobacillaceae. The record is from RNAcentral.
AUACAUGCAAGUCGAACGCGUUGGCCCAAUUGAUUGAUGGUGCUUGCACCUGAUUGAUUUUGGUCGCCAACGAGUGGCGGACGGGUGAGUAACACGUAGGUAACCUGCCCAGAAGCGGGGGACAACAUUUGGAAACAGAUGCUAAUACCGCAUAACAGCGUUGUUCGCAUGAACAACGCUUAAAAGAUGGCUUCUCGCUAUCACUUCUGGAUGGACCUGCGGUGCAUUAGCUUGUUGGUGGGGUAACGGCCUACCAAGGCGAUGAUGCAUAGCCGAGUUGAGAGACUGAUCGGCCACAAUGGGACUGAGACACGGCCCAUACUCCUACGGGAGGCAGCAGUAGGGAAUCUUCCACAAUGGGCGCAAGCCUGAUGGAGCAACACCGCGUGAGUGAAGAAGGGUUUCGGCUCGUAAAGCUCUGUUGUUAAAGAAGAACACGUAUGAGAGUAACUGUUCAUACGUUGACGGUAUUUAACCAGAAAGUCACGGCUAACUACGUGCCAGCAGCCGCGGUAAUACGUAGGUGGCAAGCGUUAUCCGGAUUUAUUGGGCGUAAAGAGAGUGCAGGCGGUUUUCUAAGUCUGAUGUGAAAGCCUUCGGCUUAACCGGAGAAGUGCAUCGGAAACUGGAUAACUUGAGUGCAGAAGAGGGUAGUGGAACUCCAUGUGUAGCGGUGGAAUGCGUAGAUAUAUGGAAGAACACCAGUGGCGAAGGCGGCUACCUGGUCUGCAACUGACGCUGAGACUCGAAAGCAUGGGUAGCGAACAGGAUUAGAUACCCUGGUAGUCCAUGCCGUAAACGAUGAGUGCUAGGUGUUGGAGGGUUUCCGCCCUUCAGUGCCGGAGCUAACGCAUUAAGCACUCCGCCUGGGGAGUACGACCGCAAGGUUGAAACUCAAAGGAAUUGACGGGGGCCCGCACAAGCGGUGGAGCAUGUGGUUUAAUUCGAAGCUACGCGAAGAACCUUACCAGGUCUUGACAUCUUGCGCCAACCCUAGAGAUAGGGCGUUUCCUUCGGGAACGCAAUGACAGGUGGUGCAUGGUCGUCGUCAGCUCGUGUCGUGAGAUGUUGGGUUAAGUCCCGCAACGAGCGCAACCCUUGUUACUAGUUGCCAGCAUUAAGUUGGGCACUCUAGUGAGACUGCCGGUGACAAACCGGAGGAAGGUGGGGACGACGUCAGAUCAUCAUGCCCCUUAUGACCUGGGCUACACACGUGCUACAAUGGACGGUACAACGAGUCGCGAACUCGCGAGGGCAAGCAAAUCUCUUAAAACCGUUCUCAGUUCGGACUGCAGGCUGCAACUCGCCUGCACGAAGUCGGAAUCGCUAGUAAUCGCGGAUCAGCAUGCCGCGGUGAAUACGUUCCCGGGCCUUGUACACACCGCCCGUCACACGCAUGAGAGUUUGUAACACCCAAAGUCGGUGGGGUAACCUUUUAGGAGCCAGCCG